This 691-nucleotide ribosomal RNA is filed under the name Bacillus subtilis. RNAcentral's name for it is "bacterial SSU rRNA". It matches the Rfam family "Bacterial small subunit ribosomal RNA", at positions 70 to 745 of the family's 1533-position model. The record is from RNAcentral. Lineage: Bacteria; Bacillati; Bacillota; Bacilli; Caryophanales; Bacillaceae.
AGAUGGGAGCUUGCUCCCUGAUGUUAGCGGCGGACGGGUGAGUAACACGUGGGUAACCUGCCUGUAAGACUGGGAUAACUCCGGGAAACCGGGGCUAAUACCGGAUGGUUGUUUGAACCGCAUGGUUCAGACAUAAAAGGUGGCUUCGGCUACCACUUACAGAUGGACCCGCGGCGCAUUAGCUAGUUGGUGAGGUAACGGCUCACCAAGGCGACGAUGCGUAGCCGACCUGAGAGGGUGAUCGGCCACACUGGGACUGAGACACGGCCCAGACUCCUACGGGAGGCAGCAGUAGGGAAUCUUCCGCAAUGGACGAAAGUCUGACGGAGCAACGCCGCGUGAGUGAUGAAGGUUUUCGGAUCGUAAAGCUCUGUUGUUAGGGAAGAACAAGUGCCGUUCAAAUAGGGCGGCACCUUGACGGUACCUAACCAGAAAGCCACGGCUAACUACGUGCCAGCAGCCGCGGUAAUACGUAGGUGGCAAGCGUUGUCCGGAAUUAUUGGGCGUAAAGGGCUCGCAGGCGGUUUCUUAAGUCUGAUGUGAAAGCCCCCGGCUCAACCGGGGAGGGUCAUUGGAAACUGGGGAACUUGAGUGCAGAAGAGGAGAGUGGAAUUCCACGUGUAGCGGUGAAAUGCGUAGAGAUGUGGAGGAACACCAGUGGCGAAGGCGACUCUCUGGUCUGUAACUGACG